GCCGGGUUAGUUCUAGUGGUAAAACAAGGCACUCGUAACGCUUAGUCGCAAGUUCGAUUCUUGCACCCGGCACCA
Molecule: transfer RNA, 75 nt
Filed under: Gallionellales bacterium 24-53-125
Lineage: Bacteria; Pseudomonadati; Pseudomonadota; Betaproteobacteria; Nitrosomonadales
Also listed under: 4 other names
Description: tRNA-Thr
Rfam family: tRNA
About the family: Transfer RNA (tRNA) molecules are approximately 80 nucleotides in length. Their secondary structure includes four short double-helical elements and three loops (D, anti-codon, and T loops).
Source: RNAcentral